CCACUCCCAGGAGGCUUCUGUUCCUCUCAUAACAGCCAGUGGGGUGGAGACGCAUCCCCAAAUCAACCACCACUCUAGAAAGUGGAAAACAGCUGGAGCCACCCGGUGAGGCUGUGGGAAAGGGUCACAGAAUCCCAGGAUGGCAGUGUUCUAGACUGUUGCAGUCGUCUGGUCAAGUUUGAGUUUUAGGCUGAGUGCGGUGGCUCAUGACUGUAAUCUCAACACUUUGAGAGGCUGAUGCAGGAGGAUCACUUGAGCCCAGGAA
Molecule: long non-coding RNA, 265 nt
Organism: Sapajus apella (tufted capuchin)
Lineage: Eukaryota; Metazoa; Chordata; Mammalia; Primates; Cebidae
Exons: 3
Source: RefSeq, a predicted model, not a curated record